AUGACAUGAAGGCGGUGUGGCCACCGUGCACUUGAAGGGGUCUGUCCUAGCUUUCCUAGAAAUUAAGAGGUGCUUCUUUUAACCUGACAGCGGUCUAUGGUUACCUGGAGCAGAGAACUAAUCAUUUUGCAUCACCUCAUUUGCUUGUUUGUGACCCCGCUAAACAGCGAAUGCUGUGAGGGCAAGGUAACAUACCUUUCAGCUCUUGGAGGCCUCAGCAUCUGGCACCGCCCUUGGUAUACCACUGGUGCUCAACCUGUGUUUCUUCUAUGAGUGAGUCAACGUGUGGAGGAAGCAGGCAAGUGUCUGUCAGAAUCCCGCAUCAUCACACUGAGAAGGCAGAGCCUUGGGCAAAAUCCAUAUGCAUAGACAUAUCCCCACCCCAGCUCUGGACUGGAAGAGAGACCAUCUGAUGGCCCACGUCCUGCCUGAGGGCCAGCUCCUGCGAGGGCUUGCGAUGAUGCGUGACCCUUGCCGGAUACACCUUGUCUGGAGCUCCAAGAUGCCCCGGUGUACCCACAGCUCUCCUCCACUCUGCCUUGUGGUGACAAGGUGGUCGAGGUGGGCAGCCUGAGCCCAGGCAGCGAUUUCUCCCAUCCUGAGCUUUUCUGUUUCCAGUUCCAUCUCUGGCCCUAGGCUCUUCUUGAGUCCAUCCCUCUGGGUGUUUUGGUUUGUUUGGAUAUCCAUUUCAAAAACACUUGUUCCAUAUUAUGUGCAUGGUAUUGUCUAGUUGCCAUGGUGAAGUCUGCACUGUCAGCCGCAUCCAGGAGGACGAUACGUCUCCAUUGGAGCAUGACUUAGAAGGAACUGGGGCCGCACUGAGUUCCACAGCCAGGGUCUUUGCUCACAACCUCUACACUGGCACGGAGUGUUGAUUCACCAAGGGGCAAUGCCUUGGUGUCGUGAACACCCAGGCAUUAUCUUAUUUUUACCCUUUUACUGCCAUUACUACACAAAGGCAAACACACCCGGGACUUGUAAGAGAAAAGGUAGCAUCUCACUCCCCCAGAUAGACAUAUAACCUUUCCAUUUCUGUUGAAGCUACCUUCUGCAUACAUUCCUGAAAUUACAGAAGCUUGGGGUUUGAAAUGACUUUAGAGGUUACCGAGUAUAUAACCCCUUCCAUGCUCAAAUUUUCUUCUCUGAGAAGCCAUGAGUCAGCAUAUACCUGAAUACCUUCAGCUAAAGAAAACACGGUGCUUUACAAGGCAGCCCAUUUCAAGGUUAGAGAGCUCUGACCUUAGGAACUUUUUCCCCUUUAUGAACUGAAAUUGGUCUUUCUUGACAUUUUACCCAUUAGCUCAGUUCUUUUGAGCCACAUAACAAAUUAGUACAAGCCUAGAAGUUUAAAACAAUAUUUAUUUAUUUAUUUAUUUAUUUAUUUAUUUAUUUUAAGAGGGGGUGGGGAGGAGAAAGGGCAGAGAGAAAGGGAGAGAGAGAAUCCCAAGCAGGCUCUGUGCUGUGGGCUCAGUCUCACAAACCGUGAGAUCAUGCCCUAAGCUGAAGUCGAGAGUCGGACAUUUGACUGAUGGAGCCACCCAGGUGCCCCCAGCAAUCCAUAUUUAUUAUCUCACAUUUUUUGUGAGUUAGGAAUCUAGUCAUGACUUAGCUGGGUUCUCUGCGGUAGGGCGUCUCAUGAGCGUCUCAUGAGGCUGCAAUCAAGGUGGUAGCUCUGAUCGGCGUCUCAUCUGAAAGCUUGACUGGGGAAGGAUCCACUUCCGAGGACACAUGGUUGUUGCCAGGCUUCAUUUCCUUGCUGGCUGUUGCCCAGAGGCUGCCCUCAGUUCCUUGCCAUGUGGACCUCUCAUUAGGGCAGCUGACAACAGAGCAGCUGGCCUCAUCAAAGCUAGCCAGGAAGAGAGCCUGUGAGCAAGGCCCAAGUUAGGUUCUCAUGUAAUCUAAUCAUAGAAAUGACAUUACCCUCUACAUUAAGGUAUUCUAUUGGCUACAAGCCAGCUGCUCAAGGGGAGGGGAUCACAUAGGCCAUGAAUACCAAGAUAGAAGUUCUAGGAGCCCCAGUAUCUCAUGGGGAAAGAGUUUUAGGGUCAGCACACUGAACUCCAACUAACCACCCUAUUCAUGUUUUGGAGCAGGCAUUCCAGAGAUCUUUGAGUAUGGUGCAUUUUAAUAUGAAAUUUAUAAAUUGGAAAAAUUAAGAUUUCCUCUCCUUCAUCCUCUCCCCCAACAACCUAGUAAAGAGUUUACUCCUGUGCCAUCUAUAAACGGGGUUUUUUUUCCUUCCUUUCCAGAGGAUUGAACAAAUAGAACAGCUUUUCAUGAAAAUAGACUAUGAAUCAGUGGGCAGAACUGAAUGGGAUGGCUUCUGCACAUAUCUGCAGCUCGAGUAUUCAGAGCAAGCGGAUGCUUUGGCCCGACAGAAAGAGGUUUCCUUCCAUCUGCCUGCUGUGCUGCUGAAGUUGAAAAGAAGAAAGAGAGUUUCUGUAUGUGAUUUUCAUUUGAUAAGGAUGCUGAGUGCUCUAGUUUGAUUUUAUUUGCUAUUUUAAACUGCUCUUCAAGUGGCAUGAUUACAGAAAUUGUGUCCUUGAAUGUAAUAUAUUCACGUUGUCUUUUGCUAGUCUAUAGAAUGCAAAUAAAAUAUGAUCUCUAUAUGUAGUACAAGAUAA
Molecule: long non-coding RNA, 2624 nt
Organism: Acinonyx jubatus (cheetah)
Lineage: Eukaryota; Metazoa; Chordata; Mammalia; Carnivora; Felidae
Exons: 2
Source: RefSeq, a predicted model, not a curated record